UAGUUCCAGCUAAGUUGGGAACCAUAGUUCAAAUUUUAAGUACAAACACGGUGUAAUUUUAGUGUAAUUAUGUUUUGUGAUGCGCAUUUGAUCAUAUACUAUAACAUGUUAAUUUGCGCAAUAUAAAUAUUAAUUAUUAUUAUUACACCAGACAUUUGUCGGUUGUCAGACAGUACUUAUUUUGAGAUCAGUGGAGUAAAUCGAACGUUAGGCGAGUGUCGUACGAAGACGAGCCGAGUAUAAAACACGUGAAAAGCUUGUUUUUCAACGUGUUGGUGUCAUGGUGUGAUAUGAAAUUUGUACUGAGAGAAUAGCACAAAAAAAGCACAGAUAAAAUAAAGAAGGAAGAGAAAUUAAGCAAAAGAUAAUAUUACAAAUAAUAAUGGAUACUACCACGGAAGAUAUGAACGAAUCGACGACGGUUGAGGGCGACAAACCUUCAUACAGCGAGCUUGUAAAAAUGGUCAACGAAGUUGCUAAGCCUUUGGCUGGAAAAAAAUUAACCAAGGCGUUAUAUAAAACGACUAAAAAAGGUACGUUGUGUAGAAUUCACUUUACUCUAUGCCUUAUGUUUUACUUGGAUCUAUGUCUUAUGUUUUACCUUUAUGGUAUUAUUGGUAUAAAAACUGAAAAACAUGCCUUGUGUUUUGGUUUUGCUAGUAUAAAUAUCAGAAACUAAUUUUCCCCCCUCCCCCUCUGGACAGCAGAAAUUUUCUCGGGGGGGGAGUGCAGAUCUUUUCUGGACGACUUAAUCGUCAAUAAUGUGCAACAAGUCAGGC
Non-coding RNA from Paramuricea clavata, 779 nucleotides. The record is from the annotation of a GenBank genome assembly. Lineage: Eukaryota; Metazoa; Cnidaria; Anthozoa; Malacalcyonacea; Plexauridae.